This is a non-coding RNA of Drosophila melanogaster (fruit fly), 221 nucleotides long. NCBI's taxonomy places the organism in Eukaryota, Metazoa, Arthropoda, Insecta, Diptera, Drosophilidae. The record is from Ensembl.
GUUUUCGCAAACGAAACGAUGGACGCGGAUGUGCAUGCGGAUGCUCCGACCGGGUCAAUAAAGUAAUUGAGACUGGCGCCGCGGAGGCGGAGGGCAGAAAGGAUAAGCAAACAAACCAGGAGACGCCGGAGUGCACACGAGGGGUUGCAAAUGGAUGCGGGCUCUGCAUUUAUGCAAAUGAUAUAGGGCAGGAGUCGACCAGAUACUGUUACCCGCUCUAU